AAUAGAUACCCGGGUAGUCCACGCCGUAAACGAUGGAUACUAGCUGUUUGACCGCAAGGGUUGAGUGGCUAAGCGAAAGUGAUAAGUAUCCCACCUGGGGAGUACGAACGCAAGUUUGAAACUCAAAGGAAUUGACGGGGGCCCGCACAAGCGGUGGAGCAUGUGGUUUAAUUCGAUGAUACGCGAGGAACCUUACCAGGGCUUAAAUGUAGUUUGACGUAUUUGGAAACAGAUAUUUCUUCGGACAAAUUACAAGGUGCUGCAUGGUUGUCGUCAGCUCGUGCCGUGAGGUGUCAGGUUAAGUCCUAUAACGAGCGCAACCCCUGUUGUUAGUUGCCAUCGAGUCAUGUCGGGAACUCUAACAAGACUGCCAGUGUAAACUGCGAGGAAGGUGGGGAUGACGUCAAAUCAUCACGGCCCUUACGUCCUGGGCCACACACGUGCUACAAUGGACGGUACAGAGAGCAGCCACUUAGCAAUAAGGAGCGAAUCUAUAAAACCGUUCUCAGUUCGGAUCGGAGUCUGCAACUCGACUCCGU
This 539-nucleotide ribosomal RNA is filed under the name uncultured bacterium. Its description in RNAcentral is "bacterial SSU rRNA". It matches the Rfam family "Bacterial small subunit ribosomal RNA", at positions 777 to 1321 of the family's 1533-position model. The record is from RNAcentral.